UUGUAUUUCCCACCGGGGGGGAUGAGAACCCCCGACCGGGGUUCGACAACUGGCAACGCCAGUUGGACAGACCGCGAGCCUGCGAGCGGGCUGCCCCGCAGGGGCGAGCGAAGCGAGUCAAUCCCCCCCUCACCGCCA
RNAcentral lists this small RNA (138 nucleotides) under Klebsiella pneumoniae. Its description in RNAcentral is "RtT sRNA". It matches the Rfam family "RtT RNA". Rfam says of the family: This family represents a bacterial cis-regulatory element known as RtT RNA. Lineage: Bacteria; Pseudomonadati; Pseudomonadota; Gammaproteobacteria; Enterobacterales; Enterobacteriaceae. The record is from RNAcentral.